GUGACAGCCCUGGAAACUGAAGUCCUCUGUUUAUCUAGGGAAAAGCACAGCAGACCAGUAUAAAUAUUAGUUCCGAAUGCUGCCCCAUCAGUAUGCUUCAGUCUUCACAUGAAAGCGACCACCGUGAUUGGUCAGAGAUUAGUUCAGUCUCCAUUGCCAUUCAGUCAUUGGCUUCU
RNAcentral lists this small RNA (176 nucleotides) under Chrysemys picta bellii (western painted turtle). Its description in RNAcentral is "TUC338 (ENSCPBG00000017360.1)". Lineage: Eukaryota; Metazoa; Chordata; Testudines; Emydidae. The record is from RNAcentral.